GACGAACGCUGGCGGCGUGCUUAACACAUGCAAGUCGAACGGAAAGGCCCUGCUUUUGUGGGGUGCUCGAGUGGCGAACGGGUGAGUAACACUUGAGUAACCUGCCCUUGACUUUGGGAUAACUUCAGGAAACUGGGGCUAAUACCGGAUAGGAGCUCCUGCUGCAUGGUGGGGGUUGGAUAGUUUCGGCGGUUGGGGAUGGACUGGCGGCUUAUCAGCUUGUUGGUGGGGUAGUGGCUUACCAAGGCUUUGACGGGUAGCCGGCCUGAGAGGGGGACCGGCCACAUUGGGACUGAGAUACGGCACAGACUCCUACGGGAGGCAGCAGUGGGGAAUAUUGCACAAUGGGCGGAAGCCUGAUGCAGCAACGCCGCGUGCGGGAUGACGGCCUUCGGGUUGUAAACCGCUUUCGCCUGUGACGAAGCGUGAGUGACGGUAAUGGGUAAAGAAGCACCGGCUAACUACGUG
Molecule: ribosomal RNA, 468 nt
Filed under: uncultured bacterium
Lineage: Bacteria
Description: partial 16S ribosomal RNA
Rfam family: Bacterial small subunit ribosomal RNA
Source: RNAcentral